This 784-nucleotide ribosomal RNA is filed under the name uncultured bacterium. Its description in RNAcentral is "bacterial SSU rRNA". It matches the Rfam family "Bacterial small subunit ribosomal RNA", at positions 75 to 878 of the family's 1533-position model. The record is from RNAcentral.
UGCUUUUGAUUAUUUUAGCGGCGGACGGGGGAGUAACGUGUGGGCGACCUGCCUUUUACUGAGGAAUAAUCGUUGGAAACGACGACUAAUACCGCAUACGGUUCUUGGAAGGCAUCUUCUAAGAAAGAAAGGAUUUAUUCGGUAAAAGAUGGGCCCGCAUCUGAUUAGCUAGUUGGUGAGAUAACAGCCCACCAAGGCAACGAUCAGUAGCCGACCUGAGAGGGUGACCGGCCACAUUGGGACUGAGACACGGCCCAAACUCCUACGGGAGGCAGCAGUGGGGAAUAUUGCACAAUGGGCGAAAGCCUGAUGCAGCAACGCCGCGUGAAGGAAGACGGUUUUCGGAUUGUAAACUUCUAUCAAUAGGGAAGAAAGAAAUGACGGUACCUAAAUAAGAAGCCCCGGCUAACUACGUGCCAGCAGCCGCGGUAAUACGUAGGGGGCAAGCGUUAUCCGGAAUUACUGGGUGUAAAGGGAGAGUAGGCGGCAAGGUAAGCGAUAUGUGAAAGCCUUAAGCUUAACUUAAGGAUUGCAUAACGAACUAUCUAGCUAGAGUACAGGAGAGGAAAGCGGAAUUCCUAGUGUAGCGGUGAAAUGCGUAGAUAUUAGGAAGAACACCAGUGGCGAAGGCGGCUUUCUGGACUGAAACUGACGCUGAGGCUCGAAAGCGUGGGGAGCGAACAGGAUUAGAUACCCUGGUAGUCCACGCUGUAAACGAUGAGUGCUAGGUGUCGGGGAGGAAUUCCCGGUGCCGGAGCAAACGCAAUAAGCACUCCACCUGGGG